UUAAGUUAUUAAGGGCGCACGGUGGAUGCCUUGGCACUAGAAGCCGAUGAAGGACGUUACUAACGACGAUAUGCUUUGGGGAGCUGUAAGUAAGCUUUGAUCCAGAGAUUUCCGAAUGGGGAAACCCAGCAUGAGUUAUGUCAUGUUAUCGAUAUGUGAAUACAUAGCAUAUCAGAAGGCACACCCGGAGAACUGAAACAUCUUAGUACCCGGAGGAAGAGAAAGAAAAUUCGAUUCCCUUAGUAGCGGCGAGCGAAACGGGAAGAGCCCAAACCAACAAGCUUGCUUGUUGGGGUUGUAGGACACUCUGUACGGAGUUACAAAGGACGACAUUAGACGAAUCAUCUGGAAAGAUGAAUCAAAGAAGGUAAUAAUCCUGUAGUCGAAAAUGUUGUCUCUCUUGAGUGGAUCCUGAGUACGACGGAGCACGUGAAAUUCCGUCGGAAUCUGGGAGGACCAUCUCCUAAGGCUAAAUACUCUCUAGUGACCGAUAGUGAACCAGUACCGUGAGGGAAAGGUGAAAAGCACCCCGGAAGGGGAGUGAAAUAGAACCUGAAACCGUGUGCUUACAAGUAGUCAGAGCCCGUUAAUGGGUGAUGGCGUGCCUUUUGUAGAAUGAACCGGCGAGUUACGAUUUGAUGCAAGGUUAAGCAGUAAAUGUGGAGCCGUAGCGAAAGCGAGUCUGAAUAGGGCGUUUAGUAUUUGGUCGUAGACCCGAAACCAGGUGAUCUACCCUUGGUCAGGUUGAAGUUCAGGUAACACUGAAUGGAGGACCGAACCGACUUACGUUGAAAAGUGAGCGGAUGAACUGAGGGUAGCGGAGAAAUUCCAAUCGAACCUGGAGAUAGCUGGUUCUCUCCGAAAUAGCUUUAGGGCUAGCCUCAAGUGAUGAUUAUUGGAGGUAGAGCACUGUUUGGACGAGGGGCCCCUCUCGGGUUACCGAAUUCAGACAAACUCCGAAUGCCAAUUAAUUUAACUUGGGAGUCAGAACAUGGGUGAUAAGGUCCGUGUUCGAAAGGGAAACAGCCCAGACCACCAGCUAAGGUCCCAAAAUAUAUGUUAAGUGGAAAAGGAUGUGGCGUUGCCCAGACAACUAGGAUGUUGGCUUAGAAGCAGCCAUCAUUUAAAGAGUGCGUAAUAGCUCACUAGUCGAGUGACACUGCGCCGAAAAUGUACCGGGGCUAAACAUAUUACCGAAGCUGUGGAUUGUCCUUUGGACAAUGGUAGGAGAGCGUUCUAAGGGCGUUGAAGCAUGAUCGUAAGGACAUGUGGAGCGCUUAGAAGUGAGAAUGCCGGUGUGAGUAGCGAAAGACGGGUGAGAAUCCCGUCCACCGAUUGACUAAGGUUUCCAGAGGAAGGCUCGUCCGCUCUGGGUUAGUCGGGUCCUAAGCUGAGGCCGACAGGCGUAGGCGAUGGAUAACAGGUUGAUAUUCCUGUACCACCUAUAAUCGUUUUAAUCGAUGGGGGGACGCAGUAGGAUAGGCGAAGCGUGCGAUUGGAUUGCACGUCUAAGCAGUAAGGCUGAGUAUUAGGCAAAUCCGGUACUCGUUAAGGCUGAGCUGUGAUGGGGAGAAGACAUUGAGUCUUCGAGUCGUUGAUUUCACACUGCCGAGAAAAGCCUCUAGAUAGAAAAUAGGUGCCCGUACCGCAAACCGACACAGGUAGUCAAGAUGAGAAUUCUAAGGUGAGCGAGCGAACUCUCGUUAAGGAACUCGGCAAAAUGACCCCGUAACUUCGGGAGAAGGGGUGCUCUUUAGGGUUAACGCCCAGAAGAGCCGCAGUGAAUAGGCCCAAGCGACUGUUUAUCAAAAACACAGGUCUCUGCUAAACCGUAAGGUGAUGUAUAGGGGCUGACGCCUGCCCGGUGCUGGAAGGUUAAGAGGAGUGGUUAGCUUCUGCGAAGCUACGAAUCGAAGCCCCAGUAAACGGCGGCCGUAACUAUAACGGUCCUAAGGUAGCGAAAUUCCUUGUCGGGUAAGUUCCGACCCGCACGAAAGGCGUAACGAUUUGGGCACUGUCUCAACGAGAGACUCGGUGAAAUCAUAGUACCUGUGAAGAUGCAGGUUACCCGCGACAGGACGGAAAGACCCCGUGGAGCUUUACUGUAGCCUGAUAUUGAAAUUCGGCACAGCUUGUACAGGAUAGGUAGGAGCCUUUGAAACGUGAGCGCUAGCUUACGUGGAGGCGCUGGUGGGAUACUACCCUAGCUGUGUUGGCUUUCUAACCCGCACCACUUAUCGUGGUGGGAGACAGUGUCAAGCGGGCAGUUUGACUGGGGCGGUCGCCUCCUAAAAGGUAACGGAGGCGCUCAAAGGUUCCCUCAGAAUGGUUGGAAAUCAUUCAUAGAGUGUAAAGGCAUAAGGGAGCUUGACUGCGAGACCUACAAGUCGAGCAGGGUCGAAAGACGGACUUAGUGAUCCGGUGGUUCCGCAUGGAAGGGCCAUCGCUCAACGGAUAAAAGCUACCCCGGGGAUAACAGGCUUAUCUCCCCCAAGAGUUCACAUCGACGGGGAGGUUUGGCACCUCGAUGUCGGCUCAUCGCAUCCUGGGGCUGUAGUCGGUCCCAAGGGUUGGGCUGUUCGCCCAUUAAAGCGGUACGCGAGCUGGGUUCAGAACGUCGUGAGACAGUUCGGUCCCUAUCCGUCGUGGGCGUAGGAAAUUUGAGAGGAGCUGUCCUUAGUACGAGAGGACCGGGAUGGACAUACCUCUGGUGUACCAGUUGUCGUGCCAACGGCAUAGCUGGGUAGCUAUGUGUGGACGGGAUAAGUGCUGAAAGCAUCUAAGCAUGAAGCCCCCCUCAAGAUGAGAUUUCCCAACUUCGGUUAUAAGAUCCCUCAAAGAUGAUGAGGUUAAUAGGUUCGAGGUGGAAGCAUGGUGACAUGUGGAGCUGACGAAUACUAAUCGAUCGAAGACUUAAUCAA
This 2921-nucleotide ribosomal RNA is filed under the name Staphylococcus aureus. Its description in RNAcentral is "23S ribosomal RNA". It matches the Rfam family "Bacterial large subunit ribosomal RNA". The record is from RNAcentral. Lineage: Bacteria; Bacillati; Bacillota; Bacilli; Caryophanales; Staphylococcaceae. RNAcentral also lists the same sequence under 102 other names.